RNAcentral lists this ribosomal RNA (497 nucleotides) under uncultured bacterium. RNAcentral's name for it is "partial 16S ribosomal RNA". It matches the Rfam family "Bacterial small subunit ribosomal RNA", at positions 28 to 507 of the family's 1533-position model. The record is from RNAcentral.
GAUGAACGCUGGCGGCGCGCCUAAUACAUGCAAGUCGAGCGAACGGACGAGAAGCUUGCUUCUCUGAUGUUAGCGGCGGACGGGUGAGUAACACGUGGAUAACCUACCUAUAAGACUGGGAUAACUUCGGGAAACCGGAGCUAAUACCGGAUAAUAUUUUGAACCGCAUGGUUCAAAAGUGAAAGACGGUCUUGCUGUCACUUAUAGAUGGAUCCGCGCUGCAUUAGCUAGUUGGUAAGGUAACGGCUUACCAAGGCAACGAUGCAUAGCCGACCUGAGAGGGUGAUCGACCACACUGGAACUGAGACACGGUCCAGACUCCUACGGGAGGCAGCAGUAGGGAAUCUUCCGCAAUGGGCGAAAGCCUGACGGAGCAACGCCGCGUGAGUGAUGAAGGUCUUCGGAUCGUAAAACUCUGUUAUUAGGGAAGAACAUAUGUGUAAGUAACUGUGCACAUCUUGACGGUACCUAAUCAGAAAGUCACGGCUAACUACGUG